UACGUAGGGGGCAAGCGUUGUCCGGAUUUAUUGGGCGUAAAGAGCGUGUAGGCGGCCAAGCAGGUCCGCUGUGAAAACUCGAGGCUCAACCUCGAGACGUCGGUGGAAACCGUUUGGCUAGAGUCCGGAAGAGGAGAGUGGAAUUCCCGGUGUAGCGGUGAAAUGCGCAGAUAUCAGGAGGAACACCUAUUGCGAAGGCAGCUCGCUGGGACGUUACUGACGCUGAGACGCGAAAGCGUGGGGAGCAAACAGG
Molecule: ribosomal RNA, 253 nt
Filed under: uncultured bacterium
Lineage: Bacteria
Description: partial 16S ribosomal RNA
Rfam family: Bacterial small subunit ribosomal RNA
Source: RNAcentral